AUUAGGACACAGACACACACAGAGGGAGGACCAAGUGAGGACACAGGGAGAAGAUGGCCGUCUACCAGCCGAGGAGAGAGACUUCAGAGGAAGCUGGCCCUGACAACACCUUGCUCUUGGCCUUCCAGCCUCCAGAACUGUAAGAAAAUCCAUUUCUGUUGUUUGCGCAGUCUGCGGUACUUCAUGAUGGCAGCCCCAGCAGACUCCCACACCCGCUCUCCCAGGCCUAGUGUAUAUUAGGCCCCCACAGCCCCAGUGCCUUGGCCGGAUUCCAGUUCAGGAAAAACAGCAGAUUGGCAAACAUCAGGAAGCGGGUACAUCCCCUCUGAUUUACAAGGAAGAGUGCAGGGUGACUCUACAGCUCAGGAAUUCAGUGAAAUAAAUUUAUGGUUAGAAAAAUUCAUGUUCUUAAUGUGAUGAAGGUCCUUUAACUUUUAACACGUUUCUCUAGUUAAGCUGCACAGG
Molecule: long non-coding RNA, 465 nt
Organism: Aethalodelphis obliquidens (Pacific white-sided dolphin)
Lineage: Eukaryota; Metazoa; Chordata; Mammalia; Artiodactyla; Delphinidae
Exons: 3
Source: RefSeq, a predicted model, not a curated record